ACCAUUGGAUACCUUCGGGUAUAUCCCAUCCGUGUCUACAUACUCUUGUUGCUUUGGCAGGCCGUGGUCACCCACUGUGGGCUAUGCCUGCAUGCGCCUGCCAGAGGACCAAACUCUGAAUAUUAGUGAUGUCUGAGUACUAUAUAAUAGUUA
Molecule: unclassified non-coding RNA, 153 nt
Filed under: uncultured fungus
Lineage: Eukaryota; Fungi
Also listed under: 1 other name
Description: sequence contains ITS1, 5.8S rRNA gene
Source: RNAcentral